This 301-nucleotide ribosomal RNA is filed under the name uncultured bacterium. Its description in RNAcentral is "partial 16S ribosomal RNA". It matches the Rfam family "Bacterial small subunit ribosomal RNA", at positions 509 to 807 of the family's 1533-position model. The record is from RNAcentral.
CAGUCGCCGCGGUAAAACGUAGGUGGCAAGCGUUGUCCGGAAUUAUUGGGCGUAAAGGGCUCGCAGGCGGUUUCUUAAGUCUGAUGUGAAAGCCCCCGGCUCAGCCGGGGAGGGUCAUUGGAAACUGGGAAACUUGAGUGCAGAAGAGGAGAGUGGAAUUCCACGUGUAGCGGUGAAAUGCGUAGAGAUGUGGAGGAACACCAGUGGCGAAGGCGACUCUCUGGUCUGUAACUGACGCUGAGGAGCGAAAGCGUGGGGAGCGAACAGGAUUAGAUACCCGCGUAGUCCCUGUCUCUUAUAC